This is a long non-coding RNA of Cairina moschata (Muscovy duck), 1317 nucleotides long. The record is from Ensembl. Lineage: Eukaryota; Metazoa; Chordata; Aves; Anseriformes; Anatidae.
AUGGGGUGUGACUGGAGAAGAACUGGCUGCAAUGAGGCUGUGACCCACCAUGGAGCCCACCAAAGGGCUUCGUGUACCAAGGGUCCGGCCCGUCACCUCAGGAAGCCCGUGAUGAGCACAGCCAGCACCUGUAGGAUGUUCCGCCAUGGGAGGGGAAAACAAACCUGGGGUGGAGGGGAGGAGGCAUCACCAAAGCCUCCGGCUGCCACGUCUUGUUUUGCAGCACUUCCAGGCUGCUGCGUGCCACCCACGCACCCAGGCAGCCCCAGCACCCAUGGACGGCUGCUGGCACACCCAAAACAGCACAGCAGAGCACGGCAUGGCACCCUAUGGCCUCAGGGCCAAGCACCCACACCCUGUCCCGCAGGGGAUCGCACAGACCAAAGGUCCUGGAGACCUCUGCACCCUGGGCAGCUCCCGCUUUUAUUGCAGUACUUCCAUAAUUUUGCUCUGCACAUCUGCAUUAGAUCCAUACUUUUCCUCACCAGAUCUGUGUUUUUCCCCACUAGAGCCACACUUUUCCUCAGCACGCCCACAUUUAGCCCUGUAAAGCUGUGUUUUACCACCACAGAGCUGACUUUUACCUCAGCAAACUGGCAGCGCACCCAUGCCACUGCUUCCCCUUUGGGCAGACGGCUCCUGCCAUGUGAGAACAUGGCGCCUUCCCUCCCCAUCCCCGCCUGCCUUCCCCCUGCCCAGUUUGAGGCAGCAAUGGUGAAUUUAGCAACAAACGCCAUGGCGGGAGGCCUCGAUGCCUGGCAGCCCCAUCCCCACUGCCAUUGCCCUCGCCACCGGCUUGCGGCGCCAUCUUGGCUCCCCUCAGCCGCCCACAGCCGCCAUCUGGCGAGGCCGCUGGGCCCCCUCUCACCGCCUCGCCAUUGCCAGCACUUUGAGAUUGACUUUUUUGUGUUUGUGACAAGCUGCUGGCGGCAAAUACACCGCCUCGGAAACACUGCGUGGGCGGCGGACGGCUCCCCUCCCCGCUUCUCUCUUUCUGGCCGCCCGGCCGGCAGGCAGGCAUGCGCGCUCACCAGGGUGGCCGUGAUGGUCUCUCGUGGGUCUGGGCAGCGAGAGCAAGAACAAAACCACCUUUUUUUGGCGCCAAGAUAUUUAUCUAACUCUUCUUUAGACAGCCUCAGCCUGCACCUCACUGAGGUGGCUGGUGCUGCCCGCACUGCUGCUGCAGCCCUCAGCAGCACUGCCCUCCUCGACAGCCCAAGAAGCGCUGCGAAGGUCACACCACUCUUUUUUUUUAUUUUAGUGAAAGAAAGAGAAAACGUGCUGGUUUGCACUUUGGGAAGCAAUGAGAGGCCCUGA